This 467-nucleotide ribosomal RNA is filed under the name uncultured bacterium. RNAcentral describes it as "partial 16S ribosomal RNA". It matches the Rfam family "Bacterial small subunit ribosomal RNA", at positions 28 to 507 of the family's 1533-position model. The record is from RNAcentral.
GACGAACGCUGGCGGCGUGCUUAACACAUGCAAGUCGAACGGAAAGGCCUCUUUCGGGGGGUACUCGAGUGGCGAACGGGUGAGUAACACGUGAGUAACCUGCCCUUGACUUUGGGAUAACUUCAGGAAACUGGGGCUAAUACCGGAUAGGAGCUCCUGCUGCAUGGUGGGGGUUGGAAGGUUUCGGCGGUUGGGGAUGGACUCGCGGCUUAUCAGCUUGUUGGUGGGGUAGUGGCUUACCAAGGCUUUGACGGGUAGCCGGCCUGAGAGGGUGACCGGCCACAUUGGGACUGAGAUACGGCCCAGACUCCUACGGGAGGCAGCAGUGGGGAAUAUUGCACAAUGGGUGGAAGCCUGAUGCAGCAACGCCGUGUGCGGGAUGACGGCCUUCGGGUUGUAAACCGCUUUCGCUCAUGACGAAGCUUUGUGUGACGGUAGUGGGUAAAGAAGCACCAGCUAACUACGUG